Molecule: ribosomal RNA, 433 nt
Filed under: uncultured bacterium
Lineage: Bacteria
Description: partial 16S ribosomal RNA
Rfam family: Bacterial small subunit ribosomal RNA
Source: RNAcentral
AACGAACGCUGGCGGCAUGCCUAACACAUGCAAGUCGAACGAGACCUUCGGGUCUAGUGGCGCACGGGUGCGUAACGCGUGGGAACCUACCCUUAGGUUCGGAAUAACUCCUCGAAAGGGGUGCUAAUACCGGAUAAUGUCUUCGGACCAAAGAUUUAUCGCCUUUGGAUGGGCCCGCGUUGGAUUAGCUAGUUGGUAGGGUAAAAGCCUACCAAGGCGACGAUCCAUAGCUGGUCUGAGAGGAUGAUCAGCCACACUGGGACUGAGACACGGCCCAGACUCCUACGGGAGGCAGCAGUGGGGAAUAUUGGACAAUGGGCGAAAGCCUGAUCCAGCAAUGCCGCGUGAGUGAUGAAGGCCUUAGGGUUGUAAAGCUCUUUUACCCGGGAUGAUAAUGACAGUACCGGGAGAAUAAGCGCCGGCUAACUCCGUG